Molecule: signal recognition particle RNA, 261 nt
Filed under: Dehalococcoidia bacterium
Lineage: Bacteria; Bacillati; Chloroflexota; Dehalococcoidia
Description: signal recognition particle sRNA large type
Rfam family: Bacterial large signal recognition particle RNA
About the family: The signal recognition particle (SRP) is a universally conserved ribonucleoprotein involved in the co-translational targeting of proteins to membranes. Archaeal SRP consists of a 7S RNA and homologues of the eukaryotic SRP19 and SRP54 proteins.
Source: RNAcentral
UCGUGCUAGGUGGGGAGUUAGCGGUGCCCUGUACCCGCAAUCCGCUUCAGCGGGGCUGAAUGCCCGUCCGAGAUCGAAAUUGAAGGGACUGCGGACGCCAGGCGGCGUUGAGAGCCUGGUCCCGUGCGGCGACGUCCGGUGAACUCCGCCAGGGCCGGAAGGCAGCAACGGUAAGCUGAUCGCGUCGGGUGCCACGGGGUCGCCGGGUUUGAGCAGGCCAGCACGAGCAAGCCGGCAAGAUCGACCGACGGCGGGGCACGG